RNAcentral lists this ribosomal RNA (340 nucleotides) under uncultured bacterium. RNAcentral's name for it is "bacterial SSU rRNA". It matches the Rfam family "Bacterial small subunit ribosomal RNA", at positions 30 to 370 of the family's 1533-position model. The record is from RNAcentral.
AUUGAACGCUGGCGGCAUGCUUUACACAUGCAAGUCGAACGGCAGCGCGGGGGCAACCCUGGCGGCGAGUGGCGAACGGGUGAGUAAUGUAUCGGAACGUAUCCUGUAAUGGGGGAUAACCAGUCGAAAGAUUGGGUAAUACCGCAUACGCACGAGAGUGGAAAGUAGGGGAUCGCAAGACCUUACGUUAUAGGAGCGGCCGAUAUCUGAUUAGCUAGUUGGUGGGGUAAAGGCCUACCAAGGCGACGAUCAGUAGCUGGUCUGAGAGGAUGAUCAGCCACACUGGGACUGAGACACGGCCCAGACUCCUACGGGAGGCAGCAGUGGGGAAUUUUGGUAC